UCUCCUGGAAACGGGUGGUAAUGCCGGAUGCUCCGACUCCUCGCAUGGGGUGUCGGGAAAGAUUUCAUCGGUAUGGGAUGGGGUCGCGUCCUAUCAGGUAGUCGGCGGGGUAACGGCCCACCGAGCCUACGACGGGUAGCCGGCCUGAGAGGGCGACCGGCCACAUUGGGACUGAGAUACGGCCCAGACUCCUACGGGAGGCAGCAGUGGGGAAUAUUGCACAAUGGGCGCAAGCCUGAUGCAGCGACGCCGCGUGCGGGAUGACGGCCUUCGGGUUGUAAACCGCUUUUGAUCGGGAGCAAGCCUUCGGGUGAGUGUACCUUUCGAAUAAGCACCGGCUAACUACGUGCCAGCAGCCGCGGUAAUACGUAGGGUGCAAGCGUUAUCCGGAAUUAUUGGGCGUAAAGGGCUCGUAGGCGGUUCGUCGCGUCCGGUGUGAAAGUCCAUCGCUUAACGGUGGAUCUGCGCCGGGUACGGGCGGGCUGGAGUGCGGUAGGGGAGACUGGAAUUCCCGGUGUAACGGUGGAAUGUGUAGAUAUCGGAAAAGAACACCACC
Molecule: ribosomal RNA, 556 nt
Filed under: Bifidobacterium pseudocatenulatum
Lineage: Bacteria; Bacillati; Actinomycetota; Actinomycetes; Bifidobacteriales; Bifidobacteriaceae
Description: bacterial SSU rRNA
Rfam family: Bacterial small subunit ribosomal RNA
Source: RNAcentral